Oncorhynchus masou masou (cherry salmon) is the source of this 379-nucleotide long non-coding RNA. RefSeq lists it as uncharacterized. The transcript is spliced from 3 exons. The record is from RefSeq and is a predicted model, not a curated record. Lineage: Eukaryota; Metazoa; Chordata; Actinopteri; Salmoniformes; Salmonidae.
AAAGAAGGGAUUAGGGGGCGGGGCCAAGAUUAAUUGUUAAUGUGUGACUAAACUAUCUUGCUGAACGUAAACACAACCCUAGAAGAAGACGGGUUGAAGAUCUUCUGGUUUACAUACUUGGUGGACCAGUCUGCCUGCGGGAAUGCUCAAUCCUCAAAGAUCUUUAUCUGAACUACCAAAGAUGUCGGGUCCAAGCCAAGCCGAGAGGGCUGUUUUGGAGGAGGAGUUUAACUGGUUGCUGAAAGAGGAGGUCCAUGCUGUUUUGAAGCAGCUCCAGGAUAUACUGAAGGAGGCAUCCAGGAGGUUCUCCAUUCCCACCCCAGGACUGGAGAACCAACUGAAACAGGAGAACUUCAUCCUGGGCAGCUCAACGUAAGUC